AUGAAGCCCAGCUUGCUGGGUGGAUUAGUGGCGAACGGGUGAGUAACACGUGAGUAACCUGCCCCUGACUCUGGGAUAAGCCCGGGAAACUGGGUCUAAUACCGGAUAUGACUUUUGACCGCAUGGUUGAGGGUGGAAAGAUUUAUCGGUUGGGGAUGGACUCGCGGCCUAUCAGCUUGUUGGUGAGGUAAUGGCUCACCAAGGCGACGACGGGUAGCCGGCCUGAGAGGGUGACCGGCCACACUGGGACUGAGACACGGCCCAGACUCCUACGGGAGGCAGCAGUGGGGAAUAUUGCACAAUGGGCGCAAGCCUGAUGCAGCGACGCCGCGUGAGGGAUGACGGCCUUCGGGUUGUAAACCUCUUUCAGUAGGGAAGAAGCGAAAGUGACGGUACCUGCAGAAGAAGCGCCGGCUAACUACGUGCCAGCAGCCGCGGUAAUACGUAGGGCGCAAGCGUUAUCCGGAUUUAUUGGGCGUAAAGAGCUCGUAGGCGGUUUGUCGCGUCUAUCGUGAAAGUCCGAGGCUCAACCUCGGAUCUGCGGUGGGUACGGGCAGACUAGAGUGAUGUAGGGGAGACUGGAAUUCCUGGUGUAGCGGUGAAAUGCGCAGAUAUCAGGAGGAACACCGAUGGCGAAGGCAGGUCUCUGGGCAUUUACUGACGCUGAGGAGCGAAAGCAUGGGGAGCGAACAGGAUUAGAUACCCUGGUAGUCCAUGCCGUAAACGUUGGGCACUAGGUGUGGGGGACAUUCCACGUUUUCCGCGCCGUAGCUAACGCAUUAAGUGCCCCGCCUGGGGAGUACGGCCGCAAGGCUAAAACUCAAAGGAAUUGACGGGGGCCCGCACAAGCGGCGGAGCAUGCGGAUUAAUUCGAUGCAACGCGAAGAACCUUACCAAGGCUUGACAUGUUCCAGAUCGCCUCAGAGAUGGGGUUUCCCUUCGGGGCUGGUUCACAGGUGGUGCAUGGUUGUCGUCAGCUCGUGUCGUGAGAUGUUGGGUUAAGUCCCGCAACGAGCGCAACCCUCGUUCCAUGUUG
This 1036-nucleotide ribosomal RNA is filed under the name Arthrobacter sp. 7Ma. RNAcentral's name for it is "bacterial SSU rRNA". It matches the Rfam family "Bacterial small subunit ribosomal RNA", at positions 69 to 1117 of the family's 1533-position model. The record is from RNAcentral. Lineage: Bacteria; Bacillati; Actinomycetota; Actinomycetes; Micrococcales; Micrococcaceae.